CCCCUCCCCCUCCCCCCUUCCUCUUUUCUUUCUGGCUGGUGCAGCUGCUUGGGCCAGCUGUCUGUCUGUCCACUGCCUGUGCCCCAGCUGUGCGUGGACGUGACACCCACCCAGGUGCGUAGUUGGGCACAGCCCCCAGCGCGUGCUCCUGGACCCCCUGCAUGCAAGGACUGUCCCUCCAGUUACUGGGAGUGCUGUUAGCACACAUCCCUCGGCCGUCGGACCCUCAGGGGCUGCCUCAGCUGCAGAGGCCACUUCACCCAAGGGCAGCUGUCCUCCCACAUCCGAUGACUGCUCCGGGUGCAAAUACCGAAGUCCUGGCCAUCUUGGCCUCACUUGGGACAACCCCGAAGGCCUGUUCUGGCUCCAGAACUCCCUGUAGGGUCAACGGAAACAGUCCUUGGGCCUGCCUCGCAGCUUGACCUCUCCCUCUGCCCAGUCCUGCCUCUCCCUUCCUCAGUUGACUCCCGGGUGCCCAUUAGUAAACAUCCUGCACUUUGUACUCCGCCUCAGACUUGGCUUCCCUCGGACCCAGACUCUGGCUGCUCACGGAUCCACUCUAUCGAGGGACUUUGGGCUACAGGUUACGGAACACCUGACCAAACUGGCCUAAACAACACAGGGCUCAGGUAGAUAAGUGUUCUAGGUGAGGCGAGGCUUUACCCGGAAAUCCAAGCGAGGACACCUUCCUCUACUUUGUUCUCCAAAGUGUUCUCCUCCCCCUGAGGCUGGCACGCCUGUGGUCACGGUGUGGCUCCCAGCAUCUCCUGGCAGGGCGGGGGUUACGAUCCGUUGUUCACGUCCUACUGGAAAGAGUGUCUCUCCCAGAAUUUUCAGCCAAAGUCUUCCAUCUUCACUGUGACCGGACCGGCUUAUACCGUGUGCCCACCUUGAAGCAGUCAAGGAGGUGGAGAAUGCCUUCGGGUUUAGUCUAGGGCAUGCACACCACCCUUGGAGCAGGGGAGGGGUGGUUGGGGUGGAGCACGUGACCUAGGCUAAGGCGGUAGGCACCUCCGGAACCACACGGGUCCCCAAAUUGAAAUGGAAAUUUUUUUUUAAUAUUUUAUUAUUUUUUAAAUUAUUAUUAUUAUUUUUUAACAUUUAUUAACUUUUGAGAGACAGCACAAGCGAGGAGAAGCAGAGAGAGAGGAGACACAGAAUCCGAAGCAGGCUCCAGGCUCUGAGCUGUCAGCACAGAGCCCGACCCGGGCCUCGGGCCCACGAACUGUGAGAUUAUGACCUGAACUGAAGUUGGACACUUAACUGACUGAGCCACCAGGUGCCCCUAAAGAUUUUGUUUAAAAGUAAUCGCUAUACCUGGGGCGCCUGGGUGGCUCAGUCGGUUGAGCAGCCAACUCCGGCUCAGGUCAUGAUCUCACAGCUCGUGAGUUCGAGCCCCGCAUCAGGCUCCGUGCUGACAGCUCAGAGCCUGGAGCCUGCUUCGGAUCCUGUGUCUCCCUCUCUCUCUGCCCCUCCCCUGCUUGCGCUC
This is a long non-coding RNA of Acinonyx jubatus (cheetah), 1489 nucleotides long. RefSeq lists it as uncharacterized. The record is from RefSeq and is a predicted model, not a curated record. Lineage: Eukaryota; Metazoa; Chordata; Mammalia; Carnivora; Felidae. The transcript has 2 exons.